UACGUAGGGUCCAAGCGUUAAUCGGAAUUACUGGGCGUAAAGCGUGCGUAGGCGGUCUCGCAAGUCCGAUGUGAAAUCCCCGGGCUUAACCUGGGAACUGCGUUGGAAACUAUGAGGCUAGAGUGCGGCAGAGGGGGGUGGAAUUCCAGGUGUAGCAGUGAAAUGCGUAGAGAUCUGGAGGAACACCGAUGGCGAAGGCAGCCCCCUGGGUCAGCACUGACGCUCAUACACGAAAGCGUGGGGAGCAAACAGG
Molecule: ribosomal RNA, 253 nt
Filed under: uncultured bacterium
Lineage: Bacteria
Description: partial 16S ribosomal RNA
Rfam family: Bacterial small subunit ribosomal RNA
Source: RNAcentral